Long non-coding RNA from Gallus gallus (chicken), 2966 nucleotides. NCBI's taxonomy places the organism in Eukaryota, Metazoa, Chordata, Aves, Galliformes, Phasianidae. The record is from Ensembl.
UCAGUAAGAGGCAGCGAUGGCACUGGGGCACCAUUUGGCAUGGAGCAUCCCAGUGUGUCCCAGCGUGGAUGUGGCUAGGAGUAAACUUUGCUUUGGCUGGGAUCUUGAUGCUAAAGUCUUCCCAAGUCCUGCAACCAUAGGAUAACGUCACUGCUGUGUGAUGGUCACGGUACUCUGCAUCUCUCUGAGCCAGAGUGAUGCCGGUUUCUGCUACUUGGUGUUUAGCACCUGGCUGCUGGGAAGGCAAAGAGCAGAGGUGCUGCCCACCCUGGGGGAAGGUGAUGUCCCAUCAGAGGUGUCCAGAACCUCUUAGCCACCCCAAGCAGCAGCUGGCAGUCUGGGCAGUGCUGGAGCAGGCUGCAGGGCUGUACUGAGCUUUUGCUCUCCCUCCCCAAAUCUCUGAAGUUUUUUUUUUUUUACUUUUUAAGCAGCAGGUUCUGUCUGGAGCUGGUUUAGAGGAUUAAGAUCCCUGAGUACGUGCUGCUCUGGUGCGGUAUGGGGUAUGGGAAGGCUGCACGCCAGGCUGCUGCCCUAUAGCAGCUCAUGACUGGGGACAGAGAGCUGUGGGGCUGCUCUUGCCCUUGGCCACGUGAGCAGCCUGGCUGGCACUGUAUGAUUAAAUUAGUUUCUAGGAGAACAAAUCCAGGAUUAGAGGAGCCAUUUGCCGUGCUGAAAGCGGAGCCCUGCUAAUUAGGUUUAUGGCCAACAGUGGAGGCUCAAGGUGCACCUGAGAGGAGAGCUGAGGCGCUGCAGCAGGAACAGCCACCAGCACAUCGCUGCGGAUGGGAGGGAGGAAGGGCAGAGGCAGCACAGUGCCCAGCAGCCCUCAGGGAUCGGGGUGCACCCGGGGUCAUCCUGUGCUCCUUCCCCCAGCGCUGACAUGGGAACGGCCCCAGUGCAGCCACCCACCGCCGCUCGCUGUGAUCCAGGGUCCUGAGCUGACCUCGCUCUGCUGCACCCACGCAGGGCAGGGAUGGCUGAAUUACUGCUCCCUGCUGCGCUCUGUACAUCCUCCUCCUGGCCGGGUGGCCUCAGGAUCUGUGGGGCUGGAUGGCUGCGUGCUCUCAGGUCAAACAGUAGCUCCAUUUUUUCCCUUGUGAAGGACCAAGAGCUUGCCCUGGUUCCAAGGAAGUAGCUGUGGAUUUUAAUUUAAUUUUAUUUUUUCCCUCCUCCGUUCUUCUUUCUGAAUCUUUUUGGGAUUUUGGGCUCUUAAUGAGGAUGCUUGGACCAGCACAGGGUGCAGCCCCAUGCAGAGGGGUGAACGCCUCUGGAGAAGCAAUGGGAGCAGCACACCAAGAGCUGGCAACCGCAGUGCCUUGGGUCUGAAACUGGGAGCUGUGUCCCUUCACAUCGCAUGGCUGCAUCCUCCCCAGCACAUCCCAUAGGGAUUAGGUGGGAUUCUGGGGGGCGCAAGGCCAAACCGCAGUGAGGGGAACGUCAAGAAGGGAAAAAUGUCACCCUCAGAAACAAUUAAACUGCUUAAUAAAAUCCGUUGCCUCUCGGAGUGCUCGCUGUUCUUUUCCGUUUGCCUUGGCUCAGCCACACUUACAUCAUGGCCCUAUCGCGGUGCUGCCGAGUGGACGGGUUUGAUUGCACAGGAAACCGGCGCUUUGGCAAACUUCUCUGCCCCGGUAAAGCCAGGCCAAGAGCUUAAUGCCUUUGCUUUGCAGAAAAAAAUCUUCCCUGUCCUUUCCCUCUUUCCUUUCUGCAACCCCUUAACCAUCACCCGCCAACUAGGCGGCCACCCCUCACAUGCCUCCUGCUCCAAAGCGCCUGAGAUGCAGAUUAAUUCCCCUUAAAUCAUGUUGUUUCACGUCCGUGGACCGUGUGUCCCCUCCCACCCUGUAGAGCUGAAGCACUGGAAGGUGCUGUGUGGAAACUGCAACGUUAAAAAAGGAUAUUUAUGUAAUGGAAAUGUCCUUUGAUUUUUUUUUUUUUAAGAGUUAUGCCUUCAUUACAAAAAAACUAAGGAUGUUCUUUCAUCUAAAAAGCACCGUAGCCUUGGGCACGUGUAUGAAUGUGUUGGGUGUUCAGCUGUGGUGAGUGAGUGACUUGUGGUCUUGAUAUUGAGCUGGUGGUGUGACUGCUGUGCUCCACUGGGACAGCAGGACCUUGGUCAGGAACGUGGAGUCCUGGGCCCUUUCCUUUGGAACCAUUGCUAGAGUGUUUUAAGAACCAUGUACUGCCCUUGGGAAAACUAUGGCAGAACAACAAAGCCCAGAAACAUGUGGACAUCGCUUGGUGUUUGGUUUGGUGACGAUGGGUAAAUGGUGAUGUCAAAUCCAUUGUCACUGAUUAAGUGUCCUUGGAGGCAGAAGCCAAGGUGAUGCUCAGCCCUUUGCCAGUGCUCGUGUUUGAGGUGGGACUGAUGCUCUUUUCUCCUCCUGGUGGAGUGGAGCCAUGCCUCAUGGAGCAGUGAGCAGGUACUUCGGGCAAAUGACAGCAUUCCCAUCCAUGAGCCAAACCUGAUGGCACACCGGGGACACCGUUCUUCCUUGGCCAAGAAGAACUGCACCGUGGCAUGGCCAACAUGUGUCCACAUUCCUCUGCAGUAGGAUGCAAACCACUGGCACUGCUGCUGGAGGACAUCUGCUUUUGGGAUCCUUUCUCACAGCUCUUCCCUGCCAAAGCUGCCCCUAUUAGCCCAAGACUGAAUGGGUGCUGCCUUCCUCCCGCCCUGCUCUGGGGAUGGAUGGCAGCUCCCAGACACGGACCCUUCCGAGUUCAUAACUAAUAUUGACUUCAAAGGCUGUUUGCCUUCAGUGUCGGUCAGUUGUGUAAUCCUGGCUUGUUUAGAGAUGGCGAGCAAACAGAGAGCCAGGCCGUUAAAAGGGGAAGGGCGUGGGAGAUGUAUUGCUAUUUUCCUGUGGAACCGGGAGGAAAACUUGCCUGUCAUUCUCGCUAAUAAAUACAAACUGGAAGCAUGGAUAAACCCAAGGGGAUUUAUUAGUUUGCUUUACCAAACG